This 2783-nucleotide ribosomal RNA is filed under the name Capsicum chinense (habanero). Its description in RNAcentral is "bacterial LSU rRNA". It matches the Rfam family "Bacterial large subunit ribosomal RNA". Lineage: Eukaryota; Viridiplantae; Streptophyta; Magnoliopsida; Solanales; Solanaceae. The record is from RNAcentral.
GGAAAGGGUUACAGUGGAUACCUAGGCACCCAGAGACGAGGAAGGGCGUAGUAAUCAAUGAAAUGCUUCUGGGAGUUGAAAAUAAGCAUAGAUCCAGAGAUUCCCAAAUAGGGAAACCUUUUGAACUACUGCUAAAUCCAAGGGCAGGCAAGAGACAACCUAGAGAACUAAAAUAUCUUAGUAGCUAGAGGAAAAGAAAGCAAAAGCGAUUCUCGUAGUAGCGGCGAGCGAAAUGGAAGUAGCCUAAACCUUGAAAACAGGGUUGUGGGAGAGCAAUACAAGCAUCGUGCUGCUAGGAAAAGUAAUCUGAAUGAUGCACCCUAGAUGACGAAAGUCCAGUAGCCGAAAGUAUCACUAGAUUACACUCUAACCCGAGUAGCAUAGGGCACAUGGAAUCCCAUGUGAAUCAGCAAAGACCACCUUGCAAGGCUAAAUACUCUUGGGUGAUCGAUAGCGAAGUAGUACCGUAAGGGAAAGGUGAAAAGAACCCCCAUCAGGGAGUGAAAUAGAACAUGAAAACAUAAGCUCCCAAGUAGUGGAAGGAGCCAGGGCUCUGACCGCGUGCCUGUUGAAGAAUGAGCAGGCGACUCAUAGGCAGUGGCUUAGUUAAGGGAACCCACUGGAGCCGUAGCGAAAGCGAUUCUUCAUAGGGCAAUUGUCACUGCUUAUGGACCCAAACCUAGGUGAUCUAUCCAUGACCAGGAUGAAGCUUGGGUGAAACUAAGUGGAGGUCCUAACCGNCUGGUUCUCCCCGAAAUGCGUUGAGGCGUAACAGUGGACUGGACAUUUAGGGGUAAAGAACUAUUUUGGUGAGGUCAGUGAGAGCGGUACCAAAUCGAGGCAAACUCUAAAUACUAGGUAUGGAAUCAAAAUUAAAAAAGAGGGGUCAAAGUCGGCUAGUGAGACGAUGGGGGAUAAGGUUCAUCGUUGAGAGAGAAAUAGCUCGGAUCACCAGCUANAGCGCUCUUGCACCGAAGAUGAACAAGGCUAAGCGAUCUACCGAAGCUGUGGAGUGUAAAAAUACAUCGGUAGGGGAGUGUUCCGCCUUAGAGAGAAGCCUCCGCAUGAGGGGUGGUGGACGAAGCGGAAGCGAGAAUGUCAGCUUGAGUAAUGAAAACAUUGGUGAGAAUCCAAUGCCCUAAAAACCUAAGGGUUUCUCCGCAAGGUUCAUCCACGGAGGGUGAGUCAAGGCCUAAGAUCAGACCGAAAGGCAUAGUUGAUGGAAAACAGGUGAAUAUUCCUGUACUACCCCUUAUUGAUCCUGAGGGACAGAGGAGGCUAGGUUAGCCGAAAGAUGGUUAUCGGUUCAAGAACGUAAGGUGUCCCUGCCCUUUUUUUAGGGUAAGAAGCGGUAGAGAAAAUGCCUCGAGCCAAUGUUCGAAUACCAGGCGCUACGGCGCUGAAGUAACCCAUGUUAUACUCCCAGGAAAAUCUUGAACGACUUUGAGUAAGAGGGUACCUGUACCCGAAAUCAACACAGGUGGGUAGGUAGAGAAUACCUAGGGGCGCAAGACAACUCUCUCUAAGGAACUCGGCAAAAUAGUCCCAUAACUUUGGGAGAAGGGGUGCCUCUUCAAAUCACAAAGAGGGCUGUAGUGACCAGGCCUGGGCUACUAUUCACCAAAAACACAAGUCUCUGCAAAUUCGUAAGACCAUGUAUGGGGGCUGACGCCUGGCCAGUGCCGGAAGGUCAAGGAAGUUGGUGACCUAAUUACAGGAAAUCCGUCAACCGAAGCCCCAGUGAAUGGCGGCCAUUACUAUAAUGGUCAUAAGGUAGCAAAGUUCCUUGUCGGGUAAGUUCUAACCCACAAUAAAGGCGUACGAUUUGGGUACUGUCUUGGAGAGAGGCUCGGUAAAAUAGACAUGUCUGUGAAGAUGCGGACUACCUGCACCUGGACAGAAAGACGCUAUGAAGCUUCACUAUUCCCUAGGAUUGGAUUUGGGACUUUCCUGUGCAUCUUAGGUGAAAGGCGAAGAAUGCCUCCUUCCGGGGGACCCAAGCCAUCAGUGAGAUACCACUCUGGAAGGGAUAGAAUUCUAACCUUGUGUCAGGACCUACUGGCCAAGGGACAGUCUCAGGUAGACAUUUUCUAUGGGGCGUAGGCCUCACAAAAGGUAACGGAGGUGUGUAAAGGUUUCCUCAGGCCGGACGGAGAUUGGCCCUCGAGUGCAAAGGCAAAAAGGAGCUUGACUGCAAGACCCACCUAUCGAGCAGGGCCAAAAGUCGGCCUUAGUAAUCUAACAGUGCCGAGUGGAAGGGCCUGUCGAGCANGAAGGUUUGGCACCUCGAUGUCGGCUUUUCGCCACCUGGGGCUGUAGUAUGUUCCAAGGGUUGGGCUGUUCUCCUAUUAAAGCGGUACAUGAGCUAGGUUUAGAAUGUCGUGAGACAGUUUGGUCCAUAUCUGGUGUGGGCGUUAGAGAAUUGAGAGGACCUUUCCCUAGUACGAGAGGACCGAGAACGAUGCACCUCUGGUGUACCAGUUAUCGUGCCCACGAUAAACGUUGGGUAGCAAAGUGCGGAGCAGAUAACUUUUGAAAGUAUCUAAGUAGUAAGCCCACCCCAAGAUGAGUGCUCUCCUAUUCCGACUUCCCCAGAGAUACCGGUAGCACAGUCAAGACAGCGAUGGGUUCUCUGCCCCUGCUGGGAUGGAGCAACAAAAGUUUUUUUGAGAAUUCAAGAAAAGGUCACGGCGAGACGAGUCAUUUAUCAUUACGCUAGGUGUCAAGUGGAAGUGCAGUGAUAUAUGCAGCUGAGGCAUCCUAACAUACCGGUAGACUUGAAA